Molecule: ribosomal RNA, 1369 nt
Filed under: uncultured bacterium
Lineage: Bacteria
Description: bacterial SSU rRNA
Rfam family: Bacterial small subunit ribosomal RNA
Source: RNAcentral
GACGAACGCUGGCGGCGUGCCUAAUACAUGCAAGUAGAACGCUGAAGAGAGGAGCUUGCUCUUCUUGGAUGAGUUGCGAACGGGUGAGUAACGCGUAGGUAACCUGCCUUGUAGCGGGGGAUAACUAUUGGAAACGAUAGCUAAUACCGCAUAACAAUGGAUGACACAUGUCAUUUAUUUGAAAGGGGCAAUUGCUCCACUACAAGAUGGACCUGCGUUGUAUUAGCUAGUAGGUGAGGUAACGGCUCACCUAGGCGACGAUACAUAGCCGACCUGAGAGGGUGAUCGGCCACACUGGGACUGAGACACGGCCCAGACUCCUACGGGAGGCAGCAGUAGGGAAUCUUCGGCAAUGGGGGCAACCCUGACCGAGCAACGCCGCGUGAGUGAAGAAGGUUUUCGGAUCGUAAAGCUCUGUUGUAGGUCAAGAACGAGUGUGAGAGUGGAAAGUUCACACUGUGACGGUAGCUUACCAGAAAGGGACGGCUAACUACGUGCCAGCAGCCGCGGUAAUACGUAGGUCCCGAGCGUUGUCCGGAUUUAUUGGGCGUAAAGCGAGCGCAGGCGGUUUGAUAAGUCUGAAGUUAAAGGCUGUGGCUCAACCAUAGUUCGCUUUGGAAACUGUCAAACUUGAGUGCAGAAGGGGAGAGUGGAAUUCCAUGUGUAGCGGUGAAAUGCGUAGAUAUAUGGAGGAACACCGGUGGCGAAAGCGGCUCUCUGGUCUGUAACUGACGCUGAGGCUCGAAAGCGUGGGGAGCGAACAGGAUUAGAUACCCUGGUAGUCCACGCCGUAAACGAUGAGUGCUAGGUGUUGGAUCCUUUCCGGGAUUCAGUGCCGCAGCUAACGCAUUAAGCACUCCGCCUGGGGAGUACGACCGCAAGGUUGAAACUCAAAGGAAUUGACGGGGGCCCGCACAAGCGGUGGAGCAUGUGGUUUAAUUCGAAGCAACGCGAAGAACCUUACCAGGUCUUGACAUCCCGAUGCUAUUUCUAGAGAUAGAAAGUUACUUCGGUACAUCGGUGACAGGUGGUGCAUGGUUGUCGUCAGCUCGUGUCGUGAGAUGUUGGGUUAAGUCCCGCAACGAGCGCAACCCCUAUUGUUAGUUGCCAUCAUUCAGUUGGGCACUCUAGCGAGACUGCCGGUAAUAAACCGGAGGAAGGUGGGGAUGACGUCAAAUCAUCAUGCCCCUUAUGACCUGGGCUACACACGUGCUACAAUGGUCGGUACAACGAGUUGCGAGUCGGUGACGGCAAGCUAAUCUCUUAAAGCCAAUCUCAGUUCGGAUUGUAGGCUGCAACUCGCCUACAUGAAGUCGGAAUCGCUAGUAAUCGCGGAUCAGCACGCCGCGGUGAAUACGUUCCCGGGCCU